GACGAACGCUGGCGGCGUGCCUAAUACAUGCAAGUUGAGCGCUGAAGGUUGGUACUUGUACCCACUGGAUGAGCAGCGAACGGGUGAGUAACGCGUGGGGAAUCUGCCUUUGAGCGGGGGACAACAUUUGGAAACGAAUGCUAAUACCGCAUAAAAACUUUAAACACAAGUUUUAAGUUUGAAAGAUGCAAUUGCAUCACUCAAAGAUGAUCCCGCGUUGUAUUAGCUAGUUGGUGAGGUAAAGGCUCACCAAGGCGAUGAUACAUAGCCGACCUGAGAGGGGGAGCGGCCAAAUUGGGACUGAGACAAGGCCCAAACGCCUACGGGAGGCAGCAGUAGGGAAUCUUCGGCAAUGGACGAAAGUCUGACCGAGCAACGCCGCGUGAGUGAAGAAGGUUUUCGGAUCGUAAAACUCUGUUGGUAGAGAAGAACGUUGGUGAGAGUGGAAAGCUCAUCAAGUGACGGUAACUACCCAGAAAGGGACGGCUAACUACGUG
Molecule: ribosomal RNA, 497 nt
Filed under: uncultured bacterium
Lineage: Bacteria
Description: partial 16S ribosomal RNA
Rfam family: Bacterial small subunit ribosomal RNA
Source: RNAcentral